CUUGACGAAACGGUUGGACGAUUAUAAACUUACUGAAUACGUCUGUUAUCACCAAUAGGCAUGUAUUCCUACAUUUACCCGAAGCAGGCAGUGGACCAACAUAGUUCAUUGUGAUAAACUACCAAGGAUAAUUCGCCAUCUUUUUCUGGGUAAUUAAUAGAGCAGUAGUAUUUACGUUGGUAGCCUUACUAGUUUGACAUGUAGUGCAGUUCUGACAAAAGCGUUUAAUUUCAGUAUUCAUUAGAGGCCAAAAAUGUUUUUCUCUCAGAGCGGCCAGAGUUUUCUCUAACCCAAGAUGGGUUUUAUUGCGCGUAUUCUCCACUAUAUAUCUUCUUUCGGCUUUUGGAGAAAUCUGGGUGACUCUGAGUGUUCGGAUCAGCCUGGGACACCAAUUUCAACAGCAGCUUUUCGUUGACAGCUAUGGCGCUCGUGAUUCAGGUACAGGCAACAAUCAUACAGCUCUAUUUCUACCACAUCUUCGCAACUUUAAAGUUCUGCGACUCUCUCAAAAAUAAUCAUAUCAACUUUUAAUUCUAUGCUAUCCAAUUCACUUUAUAUAACUCAAUUAACU
Long non-coding RNA from Toxorhynchites rutilus septentrionalis, 571 nucleotides. RefSeq lists it as uncharacterized. NCBI's taxonomy places the organism in Eukaryota, Metazoa, Arthropoda, Insecta, Diptera, Culicidae. The transcript has 3 exons. The record is from RefSeq and is a predicted model, not a curated record.